GGGAAGCCCGCCGAGUGAAUGGAGGUAGUAGCAGGAUCGCCGCUUCCCCGAUAGACCUUUGUUAGCUGUGCUUAGACUCUAAAACUGCAUCAAACCAGCCGUAGGCGUUCUGCUGGAGGAGACCUGACCUCCAACUAACCGCCCUGUCAAUCGCCCUGAACCUGGGCCACUCUCAGGACGCACUUCAAGCAGCGUUGCUACGGCGUCUACCCGCACAGGGGCCACGCGGGCUCCCUGGGCGCGCGGCGAGCGGCGCACCGGUGACGCCAUCACCCGCGCGCCGCAGCCCAUACGCAGACGCAGUCCGGAUCGCUUGGCGGCGAGCGGCACGCGCGCAGCCUGGGGAUGCUGAAGCGAGUGCGAUGGCUCUCGCCAUGCAGUCUUCCGAGUUCCAGUUCGCCCAGCGGCUGGCCUCCAGUGAGAAGGGCGUCCGCGACCGCGCCGUGAGGAAGCUGCGGCAGUAUCUCAGCGCCAGGACGCAGAGCGACACAGGAAGUUUCAGUCAAGAAGAACUCUUAAAAAUAUGGAAAGGACUCUUCUACUGCAUGUGGGUGCAGGACGAGCCCCUUCUGCAGGAGGAGCUAGCGAACAUUAUUUCCCAACUCAUCCACGUUGUAAACAGCUUGGAGGCUCAGUACCUGUUUAUUCAGACCUUCUGGCAGACCAUGAAUCGAGAGUGGCAAGGGAUAGACAAGCUGCAGCUGGACAAGUACUACAUGCUGAUCCGCCUGGUCCUGAGGCAGUCCUUUGAAGUUCUCAAGCGGAAUGCCUGGGAAGAAAGCCAAAUCACACUGUUUUUGGACAUCCUGAUGAAGGAGAUCCUGAGUCCUGAGAGUCAGUCUCCCAAUGGCGUGAGAACCCACUUGAUUGAUGUGUACUUGGAGGAGCUUACCACAGUGGGAGGGGCGGAGCUCUUAGCGGACCAGAACCUCAAGUUAAUCGAUCCAUUCUGCAGAAUUGCUGCCAAGACUAAGGACCACACGCUGGUACAGACUGUAGCGAGGGGUGUUUUUGAAGUCAUUGUAGAUCAGUCUGCCUGUGUACCUCAAGAGUCUGUGGAGGAGCGGAAAACCAAAGAGGAUGGCAGUGGCUUCCCUACGAAGGCGUUGGCCUGUAGGAAGGCAGUCAGUGGGAAGAAGGCUGCACUAGACGAAUGCCUCAGAGACGGAGUCAUUGGCAGCAGAGAAAGAGACAUCUGUGCAGCCUUGAAAGAUUCAGGGUCACCUCUCCAGUUUGACUAUAAGGCUGUUGCUGAUCGACUCCUGGAAAUAGCCAACUCAAAAAGCACCCCGCCUUUCAACAGGAAGCGACUCUGCAGACUAGUCAGAAAGUUCCAGGACCUCUGUGAAGGCAAUGGUGCUCCACUCAGUUCUGCUGAGGACAACGGUCAGAGAAGGCACAAGAGGAAAAGAAAGAAGCUUUUAGAGAGUGAGAAAGGUGAGCUGCACAGUCUCGGAGCUGAAGGAGGUCGCCUUGCUCACACGGGACUGACAGAGAGGAGGAGACACGGUCUCUCCUGCUGCUGAAGAGGACAGCGGAGGCCACAUUCACAAGAAGAAAAGGAAAAAGAGGAAGAGGAGUCACUUCCAGCCUGACACUCAGAACCUGGACGCUGUUGCCGUGCCCAAAGUACCGGAUUCGGAGAGUGAGCCUGACACUGCCCAGAGGCAGGCCCCGUGUGGGCAAGCGUGUGUGACUGAGCCUACAGCAGAGGCUGUGUCCAGCAUCGGGGAGAACAGCUCCAAGCCUACACCCGUCAUGCCCAUACACAAUAAAAGAAAACGGCCGAGAAAGAAGAAACUGAGGGCCCACAAAGAGAUCUGCAAAUCCACCACUUUACCUCAGGAGGACAUGUCAAAGAAUGACGCUGUCAGUGGGCAUUCUCAGAGCUCUGCUGCCCACAUUUCUUCCUCAGAAGGUGUCCAAGCCCAGAAAAGGAAACGGAAACUGGGAGCUCUCCCUGACAGCAGUAGUGACCUACCUGUACAGAAGUCAGGGACCCCAACAAGCCCAGUGGAGGGGAAGGAUGGCCAGACCACCCUGCCCCGGUGUAAGAGGUCACAAAAGAAGACAGCAUCCAGCACCCUUGACCCCUGUGAUCCGUCCAGUCAAAAACCAGCAAUCUCAAAAAAGAAGAAGAAAACUAUGAAGCUGAUGUCAAACGGUGUGUUGGAGUCCAACCCUGGGCAGAUCCAAGCUCUGGGAAGCAACAGGACUCUGAAGAAGCCGCUGAAAACGGAGGACGACUUUGUGAAGUUUGACACUCGGUUCUUACCAAAGCCCCUGUUCUUCAGGAAAGCCAAGAACAGCUCUGCCACCCGUCCCCAAGGUCCUGCUGGCCAGCUGAAUAAAACACCCUCCAGUUCCAAGAAAGUCACCUUUGGAUUGAACAGAAACAUGACUGCAGAAUUUAAGAAGACAGACAAGAGUAUCCUGGUCAGCCCCACAGGCCUCUCCAGAGUGGCCUUUAACCCUGAGCAGAGGCCACUCCACGGAGUGCUGAAGACCGCCACGAGCUCCCCGGCCAGCACUCCUCUGUCGCCCAUGAGGCUACCAGCCACCACCCCAAAGAGAAGGCCAAGGGCUGCGGACUUCUUCUGAGAGCCAGAAGCCCUUUCUGAAGCCUGCUUUUAUACCGGAUGUUCUAUAAAUUAUAACUUUUAAAGUUGGGCUUUUUAAUUACUUUACAAAUACCCAUGAGUGGGACAGAUGUUCUGAACCUGGACCACAGGCCUUCCUGCUAGGCUUGCAGCCCACGGUGCACAUCUGCGCACACCCUCACUGAGGACUGAGUGCUGUUGGUACACGGAGCCCCCUCCUCCAUACCCAUUGCUGCACCACCACUGUGGAUUGCACGCCUUUCUGGGUGGCUGCAGUCUCUGUCCCUUGUGAAAGCAUGGCAGCUUCAGGCCCAUCUGCGGGCAUGUGGCUGUUUUUCCUGGGAUUGACUCCUGAAAUGGAAUGAGCAAUAGUGUAGCUUUUCUACGGGUGACCAGCAGGAGGCUAGACAGGUGGGGGGGUAGGGGAAAGCCACUUUUCCCGGAGGCUUCUCCUCCUCUGCCUGGCCUGUUCCUGUCCCUGUCUUCCUACCUCUAUAGCAAGCCCAAAGUGUCUUUUCAGGAGGGCCAGUAGCCCCCAGGCUGCUGCCCACAUUAGCACAGUUUUCCCAGGGCCUCCCUGACUGCACCAGUAGGGUCUGGACCCCAGCUCUUGCCUGACCUGGAAGUUGGCUGCCCAGGAGUAGAAGCCUGUUAGCUGCCUCCAUGGGUUUUAUACAGCUCUUCUUGCUUAGUGCGGAACCCAGGGAGCUGCUCAGACUUCCACCAAAGCAAAUCUGGCUCCUUCUUUAGAGAGAAGCCUACGUGGCGACUGCUCUUAUUUAAGGAAACCACCUUGGGUCUGAGAGGUGGAGAGGCCGUGGGAUUAAGCACAAUAGGAGGCGCAGCUCCUGCUUCUACCGUUAGGCGCUGCAGGCUUGAAGUGGCAAGGCCCUGCAUCUCAAGCACUCAGAGCUCUGUGAGCUUGCCUACUGUGCGCAGGAUCUCCCCAAGUAUGUCCUACUCUGUGCACCCUGUGCUGGAGCCCUACUUUUCACCCCGCUGCCCCUCGGGAGGACUGCAGCUCGCUCCUGUUGGGAUCGCAAAGCUCGGGUACCUGCCCCGGCUUUGCUCCACACAGUCACGGGGUCCAUUUCCAAGUCGUCUUUUUUGUUUGUUUGUUUGUUUGUUUGUUUGUUUGUUUGUUUUUUCCAGACAGGAUUUCUCUGUGUAGCCCUGGCCGUCCUGGAACUCACUUUGUAGAUCAGGCUGGCCUCGAACUCAGAAAUCGGCCUGCCUCUGCCUCCCGAGUGCUGGGAUUAAAGGCGUGCGCCACCACGUCUGGCUCCAUUUCUAAGUCUUGAACCAACUGACUCCCGAAUGCCAUUCCCGGAAGGAACCAAGUGGUGACUUUGUCCUCUGCCUGCUCAGUCACAAAGUAUAUCACUAGGCCAUAAAAAUGGAGAUGAUGUUUUGCUUGUGUCACAGUAGGUCUUGUGCAGUGUCACUUGUAGUUGCAUGGUUACAGCGUGCUGAGUUUGACCAUUACAUUCAAAACUAAAACCUGUGUAGGAAGGUUAAGGUCGUGGCAGCAGAUGCCUAGCUUCUUAUUUAAAAAGUUGAGUGCACCCAGCCAUUUUCUGUUUUAAAGAUAGGUUAAUAUAGCCAAGAGGGUCAUACAGCCCAGUGGUGUAGAGCAAGACACCAGGUAGCAGUAAUAGAAAACAACCUCACACCAUUUUCACAAUGGCCGCCCAUCCUCGGGGACUGUGAGUGUCCUUGUCUUAGUCAAAGCACAUCUCCUACCAAAAUUGCUCCCAAGAUGGAGGGUGAGACCUCAGUGCUAGGUUGACAGGUGGGCGUCGCCAUGCCUGGACCAAUUCCUGCACAGCACAGGAAGGCUCCACUCCAUGAAGGAGUGCAUUUAGAAUGGCAUCCUGGUCCUGGAUGCAGAUUCUCAAGUAAAAUUGCUGUUAAAUUUCUUCAAGUCCAGAGAAGCAAAUCUUAGUGCGGGCAGACCGAGUUAGUGUUUGAUGCGACUAUCUCCAUCCUUAGUAUGGAUGUGGUCAGUUCUGCACAAUUUGGUUUCAAACUAACUUUUUUUUCUUUCCUUUUUAAAAAUAAUAAUAAUGUCUCAGUAUGUAUCCUAUCCCACACUGGCCCCACACCGGUGGUCUCCCUGCCUCAGCCAGGCUACUGCUGGGACACGCACAGGAAGGAGCAUGAGGGGGGGUUGGGAAGCAGUCGCCUGCCUGGGAAGUGGGUCUGUGUUUUCUCUAACUGCCACAGUGCUAUUUGUUUACCAUCAAAUUGUAUUGGUGUUUCCAGGGCUUGUUGGUACAAAUCAAAGCCAAGACCAAUUAAAAGAAAUGUAUUUUUAUCUUCGGA
Molecule: RNA transcript, 4925 nt
Organism: Mus musculus (house mouse)
Lineage: Eukaryota; Metazoa; Chordata; Mammalia; Rodentia; Muridae
Gene: Rrp1b
Gene name: ribosomal RNA processing 1B
Exons: 16
Source: RefSeq, marked validated